This is a long non-coding RNA of Canis lupus familiaris (dog), 1198 nucleotides long. RefSeq lists it as uncharacterized. Lineage: Eukaryota; Metazoa; Chordata; Mammalia; Carnivora; Canidae. The transcript has 4 exons. The record is from RefSeq and is a predicted model, not a curated record.
GAUAAAUACAUUUUGGCUCUCUCAGCCUGCCGGACCCCUGGCAUGAAUCAAGGAGAAGUAGCUCAGGAGGCUCCCAUGGUACUUAAAACAGUUCACGCUUGGAACAUUCAGCCCAUGGUUCAUUGUACAACUUUCUGAUAACACGCAGUGGCCAGACUUCUGCUUCUCGACCAUAGAAACCUAUCCCUCAAGGUCCAGAACCAAGCAGUCUCCUCUCCUGACCAGCCUCUAUUUUCCAUCAAAAUCUCUGCCCACACCCUUCAAUUUUUGAACUAGGAGGCUGUGAUAGGACCAUAGAAGCUUUGAAUAUAAACACAUCUACUUGUAUGAUUUAUCAGCUGCGGGGAAAAAAUGAAGACUCCUUUAGUAUUUGGAUCAGAAUCCACCAAAGUAUUUAUUUCAAACAGGCGUAAAUGGAGGAAGCUAAUACCAGUGACUGACCUCCAGGAAAUUGAUCCCCCACUGACAGUGGUGCUGGGAGUUGGGGCUGCUAAACCUUCACAGCUGCCCCCUUCUCCAAAGAAUUGCCCUCAGCCCAAAGAGAGCCACUGCACCCGGGAAAUUACACCCAUUCCUUGGGGUAACCAGCAGCCAGUGACUAACUGACACGGAUGUACAAGAGACUGGCUCCCUUACCAUGCUCCUGGGCCUGCACUGAGAUGCAGUGUAUGCUGCAGGGCUGCCUGUGGGAUCGUUCUGAAGCUCCUCUCCAGCUGAGACUGCCUCUGCCAGGCUCCUUCUCCUGCCCUGUCCUCCCUUGCUCCCUUCCCCCGAGUGCUACUCCUUUAGUAAACUGUGUACAUCCCAAUCCCUGUAUCAAGCUCUGCCUCUAGGGAAUAUGAUCAGAGACAGUAAGAAAAUCUAAUUUUCUCUGACAUUCUGAUACACAUCACUUAUAAUCUAAAACAUGUAGCAAGCAAGCAUGUUUUACAAACUUCAUAGACGUUAUGGACUCAAGGUUAAAGGUAAUAUGUAUAUAUUUUUUAAGAUUUUACUUUUAAGAUUUUUAAGUAAUCUCUACACCCAGUAUAAGGCUUGAACUCACAACCCUAAGAGCCAGCCAGGUGGCCCUAAAAGUUAUAUUUUUGAAAGUUUUAACGUGUGAUAAAUUGUUAACUGUAUUGGAGAGGUUUUUUUAAAGAUUUUAUUUAUUUUUAAAAGAUUUUUUAAAAUUUAUUCAUGACAGGCACAGAGAGAG